RNAcentral lists this transfer RNA (87 nucleotides) under bacterium. Its description in RNAcentral is "tRNA-Leu". It matches the Rfam family "tRNA". Rfam says of the family: Transfer RNA (tRNA) molecules are approximately 80 nucleotides in length. Their secondary structure includes four short double-helical elements and three loops (D, anti-codon, and T loops). Further hydrogen bonds mediate the characteristic L-shaped molecular structure. tRNAs have two regions of fundamental functional importance: the anti-codon, which is responsible for specific mRNA codon recognition, and the 3' end, to which the tRNAs corresponding amino acid is attached (by aminoacyl-tRNA synthetases). tRNAs cope with the degeneracy of the genetic code in two manners: having more than one tRNA (with a specific anti-codon) for a particular amino acid; and 'wobble' base-pairing, i.e. permitting non-standard base-pairing at the 3rd anti-codon position. The record is from RNAcentral.
GCGGGAAUGGCGGAACGGUAGACGCACGGGACUUAAAAUCCCGAGCUGGAUAACAGCGUGAGGGUUCGAGUCCCUCUUCCCGUACCA